RNAcentral lists this ribosomal RNA (252 nucleotides) under Phascolarctobacterium succinatutens YIT 12067. Its description in RNAcentral is "partial 16S ribosomal RNA". It matches the Rfam family "Bacterial small subunit ribosomal RNA", at positions 524 to 776 of the family's 1533-position model. The record is from RNAcentral. Lineage: Bacteria; Bacillati; Bacillota; Negativicutes; Acidaminococcales; Acidaminococcaceae.
UACGUAGGUGGCAAGCGUUGUCCGGAAUUAUUGGGCGUAAAGAGCAUGUAGGCGGUUUUUUAAGUCUGGAGUGAAAAUGCGGGGCUCAACCCCGUAUGGCUCUGGAUACUGGAAGACUUGAGUGCAGGAGAGGAAAGGGGAAUUCCCAGUGUAGCGGUGAAAUGCGUAGAUAUUGGGAGGAACACCAGUGGCGAAGGCGCCUUUCUGGACUGUGUCUGACGCUGAGAUGCGAAAGCCAGGGUAGCGAACGGG